This 492-nucleotide ribosomal RNA is filed under the name uncultured bacterium. RNAcentral describes it as "partial 16S ribosomal RNA". It matches the Rfam family "Bacterial small subunit ribosomal RNA", at positions 29 to 507 of the family's 1533-position model. The record is from RNAcentral.
AGUGAGCGCUGGCGGUAGGCCUAACACAUGCAAGUCGAACGGCAGCACAGUAAGAGCUUGCUCUUACGGGUGGCGAGUGGCGGACGGGUGAGGAAUACAUCGGAAUCUACUUUUUCGUGGGGGAUAACGUAGGGAAACUUACGCUAAUACCGCAUACGACCUACGGGUGAAAGCAGGGGAUCUUCGGACCUUGCGCGAUUGAAUGAGCCGAUGUCGGAUUAGCUAGUUGGCGGGGUAAAGGCCCACCAAGGCGACGAUCCGUAGCUGGUCUGAGAGGAUGAUCAGCCACACUGGAACUGAGACACGGUCCAGACUCCUACGGGAGGCAGCAGUGGGGAAUAUUGGACAAUGGGCGCAAGCCUGAUCCAGCCAUACCGCGUGGGUGAAGAAGGCCUUCGGGUUGUAAAGCCCUUUUGUUGGGAAAGAAAAGCAGCAGGUUAAUACCCCGCUGUUCUGACGGUACCCAAAGAAUAAGCAUCGGCUAACUUCGUG